AACUUAAAAUCACAUCAGCAAAGUCCCUUUUACUACAUAAAAGAACGUAAUUACCGGUUCUAGAACUUCACUGGGCAGUGUGACGUUGGCCAUCAUUUGGCCAAUAUGAAAGGGAAAGAACUGAAAGUGGAGAAAGCCCACCACAGGAAGGUAACACACUUCCAUCAAGCAACUCUCUGACUGAGGAACUAAGCAAUGUCGCCCGGCUCCACGAUGUUCCCAAAGAAAAAGAAAAAAAGGUGUCUCAACUAUAAGGCAGAGGGAGCCUAUCCGGCGCAUGUUCGAUGGUGAUGCAAGCUAGAAAGAAGACUGUUGCAUUAGGCUAUCGAGAUUUGAGUUCUGAUCACAGAAGUGGCCUGGCUUGGACGUCACUGUUAAUAUUCCUGAGGAGAACUUUGUUACUGCAAGUUAUUAAUCGAAAGUCUAAUGAGAAUGGUUUGAUUACACUGUUUGAUUUUUCCAUUCUAUUUGCAAUCCAGUGGGAUUUUCACUCUUGAUAUCAUUAACUCUUCAUAUUUAAAUUUUUAUCCUCGUUUAGUAGCCAUCUGUUGUCCUUUACAUGUCAAAAAAAUCUGAAUUUUCUGUUCUUUUGAGGAAAUUGGAAUAGAAGACAUUAUAAACAAAAAUGAAUUUCAUUAAAGUUUUGAUGUUCUAAAAUUUAAAAUAUCUCAGCCUAUUCAGAAGGCAUCCUUUACUUGAUUUCAUUCAUAUUGGUUGUUAUGGUUAAUAUUUAGUGUCAACCUAAUUGGAUUGAAGG
This 757-nucleotide long non-coding RNA is filed under the name Callithrix jacchus (white-tufted-ear marmoset). RNAcentral describes it as "lncRNA (ENSCJAG00000085799.1)". The record is from RNAcentral. Lineage: Eukaryota; Metazoa; Chordata; Mammalia; Primates; Cebidae.